GAUGAAGAACGUAGCGAAAUGCGAUAAGUAAUGUGAAUUGCAGAAUUCUGUGAAUCAUCGAAUCUUUGAACGCACAUUGCGCCCUCUGGUAUUCCGGGGGGCAUGCCUGUUCGAGCGUCAUUAUAACCACUCAAGCUCUCGCUUGGUAUUGGGGUUCGCGGUUUCGCGGCCCCUAAAAUCAGUGGCGGUGCCUGUCGGCUCUACGCGUAGUAAUACUUCUCGCGAUUGAGUUCGAUAGGUCUACUUGCCAGUAACCCCCAAUUUUUACAGGUUGACCUCGGAUCAGGUAGGGAUACCCGCUGAACUUAAGCAUAUCAAUAAGCGGAGGA
This 329-nucleotide unclassified non-coding RNA is filed under the name soil metagenome. RNAcentral describes it as "partial contains 5.8S ribosomal RNA, internal transcribed spacer 2, and large subunit ribosomal RNA". The stretch from base 1 to 120 matches the Rfam family "5.8S ribosomal RNA", at positions 35 to 154 of the family's 154-position model. The record is from RNAcentral.